GAUGAACGCUAGCUACAGGCUUAACACAUGCAAGUCGAGGGACCGGCGCACGGGUGAGUAACACGUAUCCAACACGCCCCUUACUCGGGGAUAGCCUUUCGACAGAAAGAUUAAUACCCGAUGUAAAGGAUGGGGAUGCGUUCCAGUAGGUUGUUGGUGCGGUAACGGAUCACCAAGCCUUCGAUGGAUAGGGCGUCUGAGAGGAAGGUCACCUGCAUGGUAACUGAGCCACGAUCCAAACGCGACGUGGAGGCAGGGAUGAGGAAUAUAGGUAAAUCGGCGUGAGCCUGAACCGUCCAGGUAGCGUGAAGGAUGAUGGCGUAUGGGUCUUAGACUUCUUUGAUGUAAGAAUAUGUAUUAUAUGAAAAAGGAUCGGCUAACUCCGUGCCAGCAGCCGCGGUAAUAC
RNAcentral lists this ribosomal RNA (406 nucleotides) under uncultured bacterium. Its description in RNAcentral is "partial 16S ribosomal RNA". It matches the Rfam family "Bacterial small subunit ribosomal RNA", at positions 28 to 526 of the family's 1533-position model. The record is from RNAcentral.